Molecule: ribosomal RNA, 253 nt
Filed under: uncultured bacterium
Lineage: Bacteria
Description: partial 16S ribosomal RNA
Rfam family: Bacterial small subunit ribosomal RNA
Source: RNAcentral
UACGUAGGGGCCGAGCGUUGUCCGGAUUCAUUGGGCGUAAAGAGCGUGUAGGCGGCCGCUUAAGUCCUGCGUGAAAUCUCGGAGCUCAACUCCGAGCGGUCUUGGGAAACUGGGCGGCUAGAGUGCGGGAGAGGAGAGUGGAAUUCCUGGUGUAGCGGUGGAAUGCGCAGAUAUCAGGAAGAACACCCGUGGCGAAGGCGGCUCUCUGGAACGCAACUGACGCUGAGAAGCGAAAGCGUGGGGAGCGAACAGG